This 253-nucleotide ribosomal RNA is filed under the name uncultured bacterium. Its description in RNAcentral is "partial 16S ribosomal RNA". It matches the Rfam family "Bacterial small subunit ribosomal RNA", at positions 524 to 776 of the family's 1533-position model. The record is from RNAcentral.
UACGGGGGGGGCAAGCGUUGUUCGGAAUUACUGGGCGUAAAGGGCUCGUAGGCGGCCAACUAAGUCGGACGUGAAAUCCCUCGGCUUAACCGGGGAACUGCGUCCGAUACUGGAUGGCUUGAGUUCGGGAGAGGGAUGCGGAAUUCCAGGUGUAGCGGUGAAAUGCGUAGAUAUCUGGAGGAACACCGGUGGCAAAGGCGGCAUCCUGGACCGACACUGACGCUGAGGAGCGAAAGCCAGGGGAGCAAACGGG